AGCGUACACGGUGGAUGCCCUGGCAGUCAGAGGCGAUGAAGGACGUGCUAAUCUGCGAAAAGCGUCGGUAAGGUGAUAUGAACCGUUAUAGCCGGCGAUGUCCGAAUGGGGAAACCCAGUGCAAUUCGUUGCACUAUCGUUUGAUGAAUACAUAGUCAAACGAGGCGAACCGGGGGAACUGAAACAUCUAAGUACCCCGAGGAAAAGAAAUCAACCGAGAUUCCCCCAGUAGCGGCGAGCGAACGGGGAGCAGCCCGGAGUCUGAAUCAGCUUGUGUGUUAGUGGAAGCGUCUGGAAAGUCGCAGGGUACAGGGUGAUACUCCCGUACACUAAAACACACAGGCUGUGAACUCGAAGAGUAGGGCGGGACACGUGGUAUCCUGUCUGAAUAUGGGGGGACCAUCCUCCAAGGCUAAAUACUCCUGACUGACCGAUAGUGAACCAGUACCGUGAGGGAAAGGCGAAAAGAACCCCGGCGAGGGGAGUGAAAAAGAACCUGAAACCGUGUACGUACAAGCAGUAGGAGCCUCUUUAUGGGGUGACUGCGUACCUUUUGUAUAAUGGGUCAGCGACUUAUAUUCUGUAGCAAGGUUAACCGUAUAGGGGAGCCGCAGGGAAACCGAGUCUUAACUGGGCGUUAAGUUGCAGGGUAUAGACCCGAAACCCGGUGAUCUAGCCAUGGGCAGGUUGAAGGUUGGGUAACACUAACUGGAGGACCGAACCGACUAAUGUUGAAAAAUUAGCGGAUGACUUGUGGCUGGGGGUGAAAGGCCAAUCAAACCGGGAGAUAGCUGGUUCUCCCCGAAAGCUAUUUAGGUAGCGCCUCGUGAAUUCAUCUUCGGGGGUAGAGCACUGUUUCGGCUAGGGGGUCAUCCCGACUUACCAACCCGAUGCAAACUACGAAUACCGAAGAAUGUUAUCACGGGAGACACACGGCGGGUGCUAACGUCCGUCGUGAAGAGGGAAACAACCCAGACCGCCAGCUAAGGUCCCAAAGUCAUGGUUAAGUGGGAAACGAUGUGGGAAGGCCCAGACAGCCAGGAUGUUGGCUUAGAAGCAGCCAUCAUUUAAAGAAAGCGUAAUAGCUCACUGGUCGAGUCGGCCUGCGCGGAAGAUGUAACGGGGCUAAACCAUGCACCGAAGCUGCGGCAGCGACACUAUGUGUUGUUGGGUAGGGGAGCGUUCUGUAAGCCGUUGAAGGUGGCCUGUGAGGGUUGCUGGAGGUAUCAGAAGUGCGAAUGCUGACAUAAGUAACGAUAAUGCGGGUGAAAAACCCGCACGCCGGAAGACCAAGGGUUCCUGUCCAACGUUAAUCGGGGCAGGGUGAGUCGACCCCUAAGGCGAGGCCGAAAGGCGUAGUCGAUGGGAAACAGGUUAAUAUUCCUGUACUCGGUGUUACUGCGAAGGGGGGACGGAGAAGGCUAUGUUGGCCGGGCGACGGUUGUCCCGGUUUAAGCAUGUAGGCGGAUGUUCCAGGUAAAUCCGGAACGUUAUUAACGCUGAGGUGUGAUGACGAGGCACUACGGUGCUGAAGUGACAAAUGCCCUGCUUCCAGGAAAAGCCUCUAAGCAUCAGGUAACAUCAAAUCGUACCCCAAACCGACACAGGUGGUCAGGUAGAGAAUACCAAGGCGCUUGAGAGAACUCGGGUGAAGGAACUAGGCAAAAUGGUGCCGUAACUUCGGGAGAAGGCACGCUGAUAUGUAGGUGAAGUGGUUUACCCAUGGAGCUGAAAUCAGUCGAAGAUACCAGCUGGCUGCAACUGUUUAUUAAAAACACAGCACUGUGCAAACACGAAAGUGGACGUAUACGGUGUGACGCCUGCCCGGUGCCGGAAGGUUAAUUGAUGGGGUUAUCCGUAAGGAGAAGCUCUUGAUCGAAGCCCCGGUAAACGGCGGCCGUAACUAUAACGGUCCUAAGGUAGCGAAAUUCCUUGUCGGGUAAGUUCCGACCUGCACGAAUGGCGUAAUGAUGGCCAGGCUGUCUCCACCCGAGACUCAGUGAAAUUGAACUCGCUGUGAAGAUGCAGUGUACCCGCGGCAAGACGGAAAGACCCCGUGAACCUUUACUAUAGCUUGACACUGAACACUGGUCCUUGAUGUGUAGGAUAGGUGGGAGGCUUUGAAGUGUGGACGCCAGUCUGCAUGGAGCCAUCCUUGAAAUACCACCCUUUAAUGGCUGGUGUUCUAACGUGGGCCCCUAAUCGGGGUUGCGGACAGUGUCUGGUGGGUAGUUUGACUGGGGCGGUCUCCUCCUAAAGAGUAACGGAGGAGCACGAAGGUCAGCUAAUCCUGGUCGGACAUCAGGAGGUUAGUGCAAUGGCAUAAGCUGGCUUGACUGCGAGCGUGACGGCGCGAGCAGGUGCGAAAGCAGGUCAUAGUGAUCCGGUGGUUCUGAAUGGAAGGGCCAUCGCUCAACGGAUAAAAGGUACUCCGGGGAUAACAGGCUGAUACCGCCCAAGAGUUCAUAUCGACGGCGGUGUUUGGCACCUCGAUGUCGGCUCAUCACAUCCUGGGGCUGAAGUAGGUCCCAAGGGUAUGGCUGUUCGCCAUUUAAAGUGGUACGCGAGCUGGGUUUAGAACGUCGUGAGACAGUUCGGUCCCUAUCUGCCGUGGGCGCUGGAGAAUUGAGGGGGGCUGCUCCUAGUACGAGAGGACCGGAGUGGACGCAUCACUGGUGUUCGGGUUGUCAUGCCAAUGGCAUUGCCCGGUAGCUAAAUGCGGAAGAGAUAAGUGCUGAAAGCAUCUAAGCACGAAACUUGCCCCGAGAUGAGUUCUCCCUGACUCCUUGA
This 2790-nucleotide ribosomal RNA is filed under the name Klebsiella oxytoca. RNAcentral describes it as "bacterial LSU rRNA". It matches the Rfam family "Bacterial large subunit ribosomal RNA". The record is from RNAcentral. Lineage: Bacteria; Pseudomonadati; Pseudomonadota; Gammaproteobacteria; Enterobacterales; Enterobacteriaceae.